Molecule: long non-coding RNA, 317 nt
Filed under: Elaeis guineensis (African oil palm)
Lineage: Eukaryota; Viridiplantae; Streptophyta; Magnoliopsida; Arecales; Arecaceae
Description: long non-coding RNA (EGUI_LNC082901)
Source: RNAcentral
CCCGACCAUCGGUCGGGGGCCUGCUGGGCUCAGCGGGGUCUCGACCCUUCCUUCGUUUUUCUUUCGGACCCUUGAACUCGGUUGAGCGUCGGUCGGAGGCCCCUUCGUCUGCGCGCAUAUACUUGUACGCGCGCUCCAACAAUUCGGCAUAUGUACGGGGGAGGGUCUUGUCCAGGGAGUAGGUGAAUCGGGACGCCCUCAGCCCCCGUUUCAUGGCUGAGAUAGCCAUGUCUUCGUUGAGGUCCCGGACCUCAAGCGUGGCCGUAUUGAAUCGUGCCACGAAGUGUCGGAGCGUCUCGUUUUCUCCCUGUUUGAGG